AGAAGUAUUCGUUUGACCUGCACCUUGCGGGUUACGACCACGACACCCCCCUCACCGGAGUGGAACAAGCCGGAACCUUCGAACCCAAUGAGAAAGCUGGAGGUUUUGAGUACGUGAUAGAGGGUGGUGGUGACCACCAAGGCUAUGAAGUCCUGUAACCAACGGCUCAGCUGGGGGAGGCAGGGUCCGCUGGAGAGAACGGAGAGAAGCAGGGUCUUGGUGAUCAGCGAUGGCGACAGCUUCGACAACUUCUGUGGCUGUUCGCUCCACUCUGACUCCGCCCGUAAAGAGGGUGGGCUUUAGCCUGAGACCUGGACCUGAGUGACAAGCAGUCGGACAAAUCAGACAACGGGGAGCAGAAUGGGGAACAACAACAACGUUGCCGUGGGGAUGACCCCUGACCCUCCAGGCCUGACCUUUGAUCCUGUAGGUCCAGCGUGAGGUCUUCACUGAAAUCAACUUGGAUAUAUAGGAGACACACACACAUACAGUGUUGUAAAAAUUGUAAUGUUCUUGUUGUGGUUGAUUUAGAGAUGAAUGUUAAAAAAGAUUCAAAUAACUUUUACUUCCCUAUUUUUUAUGCUGAGUUUUUUGAUUCCGUAUGUUUUUUUUUUGUAUUUCAAGAUGAAAACGAAUGUUUAUUGUUUUUUGUUAUUCAUUUUUAAUAAUGUUUUGUGCAUGAUAAUCAUCGCAGGAAGAUGAUGCAAAGUCACACGGUGAUUGUUUUUAGAAUAAAACUUCACAGGAAUU
This is a long non-coding RNA of Salvelinus sp. IW2-2015, 750 nucleotides long. RefSeq lists it as uncharacterized. Lineage: Eukaryota; Metazoa; Chordata; Actinopteri; Salmoniformes; Salmonidae. The record is from RefSeq and is a predicted model, not a curated record.